RNAcentral lists this transfer RNA (90 nucleotides) under Gaiellales bacterium. RNAcentral's name for it is "tRNA-Ser". It matches the Rfam family "tRNA". From Rfam's summary of the family: Transfer RNA (tRNA) molecules are approximately 80 nucleotides in length. Their secondary structure includes four short double-helical elements and three loops (D, anti-codon, and T loops). The record is from RNAcentral. Lineage: Bacteria; Bacillati; Actinomycetota; Thermoleophilia; Gaiellales.
GGAGACGUGGCCGAGCGGCUGAAGGCGCCCGCCUGCUAAGUGGGUAUUGGGGGUUAACCUCAAUCGAGGGUUCGAAUCCCUCCGUCUCCG